This 253-nucleotide ribosomal RNA is filed under the name uncultured bacterium. RNAcentral describes it as "partial 16S ribosomal RNA". It matches the Rfam family "Bacterial small subunit ribosomal RNA", at positions 524 to 776 of the family's 1533-position model. The record is from RNAcentral.
UACGGAGGAUCCAAGCGUUAUCCGGAUUCAUUGGGUUUAAAGGGUGCGUAGGCGGACUAAUAAGUCAGUGGUGAAAGCCCUCAGCUUAACUGAGGAACUGCCAUUGAUACUGUUAAUCUUGAGUACAUUUGAUGUGGGCGGAAUGUGUCAUGUAGCGGUGAAAUGCUUAGAUAUGACACAGAACACCGAUUGCGAAGGCAGCUCACAAAACUGUAACUGACGCUGAGGCACGAAAGCGUGGGUAUCAAACAGG